This 72-nucleotide transfer RNA is filed under the name Acavomonas peruviana. RNAcentral describes it as "tRNA-Asp". It matches the Rfam family "tRNA". Rfam says of the family: Transfer RNA (tRNA) molecules are approximately 80 nucleotides in length. Their secondary structure includes four short double-helical elements and three loops (D, anti-codon, and T loops). The record is from RNAcentral. Lineage: Eukaryota; Colponemida; Acavomonidia.
GCUGAUAUAGCUUAAUGGUUAAAGCUUUAGAUUGUCAAUCUAAAAAUAGGAGUUCGAUUCUCCUUAUCGGCG